RNAcentral lists this ribosomal RNA (207 nucleotides) under uncultured bacterium. RNAcentral's name for it is "partial 16S ribosomal RNA". It matches the Rfam family "Bacterial small subunit ribosomal RNA", at positions 568 to 774 of the family's 1533-position model. The record is from RNAcentral.
CACGUAGGUGGAUUGGUAAGUUAGGGGUGAAAUCCCGGAGCUCAACUCCGGAACUGCCUUUGAUACUGCCAGUCUAGAGUUUGGAAGAGGUAAGUGGAAUUCCGAGUGUAGAGGUGAAAUUCGUAGAUAUUCGGAGGAACACCAGUGGCGAAGGCGGCUUACUGGUCCAAUACUGACACUGAGGUGCGAAAGCGUGGGGAGCAAACA